This 253-nucleotide ribosomal RNA is filed under the name uncultured bacterium. Its description in RNAcentral is "partial 16S ribosomal RNA". It matches the Rfam family "Bacterial small subunit ribosomal RNA", at positions 524 to 776 of the family's 1533-position model. The record is from RNAcentral.
UACAGAGGGUGCGAGCGUUAAUCGGAAUUACUGGGCGUAAAGCGCGCGUAGGCGGCUUUGCAAGUCGGGUGUGAAAUCCCCAGGCUUAACCUGGGAACUGCAUUCGAGACUGCAUUGCUAGAGUAUGGGAGAGGGAAGUGGAAUUUCCGGUGUAGCGGUGAAAUUCGUAGAUAUUCGGAAGAACACCAGUGGCGAAGGCGGCUCACUGGACCGGCAUUGACGCUGAGGUGCGAAAGCGUGGGGAGCAAACAGG